UAAUAUAGUAAUAAUUUGGAAAAGAAAUACUGUUUUGAAAAUGAAGUGGGACGUCAUAGCACGCGUGCUUGGCGAUUCUAAAAGUACAGCCCAGAUAUCAAAUCACUAAGUCUGUGAAUGGCAACGUUAUCGUUGCAGUAUGCGGUGUUGAGAUUAGUUUGCUUGUACAAAAUGUGGUGGCGAGAUUGGUUGCUGGUGUUGUGUCUAAUGGCGAGACUGGUUGUUGGUGCGGCGACGAGAUUGUUGCUAGUGUGUGGUAGUGAGACUACUGGUCGUUGAUAAUUGGUACAGUGGUGAGACUGAAAAUUUGAAAAAGAGACAGUGGUCGAUUCACUACAUUCUAUACUUUUAAAAAAAAUAAUUAAAUGAACAGCGGGUGAGAUCACUGAAGUAUUGUGAGAUUACUGGAGUCAAGCUAGUGGAUGGAAGCUUUCAGCGGUGUUUCUUAUUGCAUCGACGGUAAAGCAAGCCAUAAGAGAGAGAAAGGUAAACGGUAAAAAGAACAGAUCAGAUUUUGUGAGUUUUAUUUUGAUGAAAAUAAAGGAAUAAUAAUUUUUUUUUGUUAUAGGUAUAUAAAAAGUAAAGGAAAGAUUUUGAUGAAGAUAAGUAGUUAGGAUUUGAAAAAUUAAAAGAGGAGAAGAUUUAAGAGAAGGUUAAGGUGACAAGAGGAGG
Molecule: long non-coding RNA, 672 nt
Filed under: Ricinus communis (castor bean)
Lineage: Eukaryota; Viridiplantae; Streptophyta; Magnoliopsida; Malpighiales; Euphorbiaceae
Description: long non-coding RNA (RCOM_LNC000035)
Source: RNAcentral